UUCCUACGGGUGGCAGCAGUGGGGAAUUUUGGACAAUGGGCGCAAGCCUGAUCCAGCAAUGCCGCGUGCAGGAAGAAGGCCUUCGGGUUGUAAACUGCUUUUGUCAGGGAAGAAAUCCUCUGGGCUAAUACCUCGGGGGGAUGACGGUACCUGAAGAAUAAGCACCGGCUAACUACGUGCCAGCAGCCGCGGUAAUACGUAGGGUGCGAGCGUUAAUCGGAAUUACUGGGCGUAAAGCGUGCGCAGGCGGCUUUGCAAGCAAGAGGUGAAAUCCCCGGGCUCAACCUGGGAACUGCCUUUGUGACUGCAAGGCUAGAGUACGGCAGAGGGAGAUGGAAUUCCGCGUGUAGCAGUGAAAUGCGUAGAUAUGCGGAGGAACACCGAUGGCGAAGGCAAUCUCCUGGGCCUGUACUGACGCUCAUGCACGAAAGCGUGGGGAGCAAACAGGAUUAGAUACCCUGGUAGUCCA
RNAcentral lists this ribosomal RNA (469 nucleotides) under uncultured Comamonadaceae bacterium. Its description in RNAcentral is "bacterial SSU rRNA". It matches the Rfam family "Bacterial small subunit ribosomal RNA", at positions 336 to 797 of the family's 1533-position model. Lineage: Bacteria; Pseudomonadati; Pseudomonadota; Betaproteobacteria; Burkholderiales; Comamonadaceae. The record is from RNAcentral.